RNAcentral lists this unclassified non-coding RNA (224 nucleotides) under plant metagenome. Its description in RNAcentral is "partial contains small subunit ribosomal RNA, internal transcribed spacer 1, and 5.8S ribosomal RNA". The record is from RNAcentral.
UCUCCGUUGGUGAACCAGUGGAGGGAUCAUUACAGGACUCGCAAGACUCCUUCACCCUGUGAACCUCACUACAAGCACGUUGCUUCGGCGGGUGUCCCGGCGGGGGUUUUCCCUCGCCGGGGCGCACAGCCCGCCGGCAGCCUACUAUACUCUGUCUCUUUGCGUUGGCAUCUCGAGAAAAAACAAACAAGUUAAAACUUUCAACAACGGAUCUCUUGGUUCUG